AGCAGCCGCGGUAAUUCCAGCUCCAAUAGCGUAUAUUAAAGUUGUUGCAGUUAAAAAGCUCGUAGUUGAAUUUCGGGAUUGACGUGACGGUCGUGCCUUAAGGGGUAUGAACUGUUACAGUCAAUUUCUCACCUUCUGGAGAAAUAUGAUGUCCUUAAUUGGGUGUCAUAUGGAACCAGGACUUUUACCUUGAAAAAUUAGAGUGUUUAAAGCAAGCUUAUUGCUCGAAUACAUUAGCAUGGAAUAAUAAAAUAGGACGGCAUGAUUCUAUUUUGUUGGUUUCUAGGAUCACCGUAAUGAUUAAUAGGGAUAGUUGGGGGCAUUAGUAUUCAAUUGUCAGAGGUGAAAUUCUUGGAUUUAUUGAAGACUAACUACUGCGAAAGCAUUUGCCAAGGAUGUUUUCAUUAAUCAAGAACGAAAGUUAGGGGAUCGAAGACGAUCAGAUACCGUCGUAGUCUUAACCAUAAACUAUGCCGACUAGGAAUCAGACGAUGUUAAUUUU
RNAcentral lists this ribosomal RNA (502 nucleotides) under uncultured Entrophospora. RNAcentral describes it as "SSU rRNA". It matches the Rfam family "Eukaryotic small subunit ribosomal RNA", at positions 569 to 1070 of the family's 1831-position model. The record is from RNAcentral. Lineage: Eukaryota; Fungi; Glomeromycota; Glomeromycetes; Entrophosporales; Entrophosporaceae.